Molecule: ribosomal RNA, 254 nt
Filed under: uncultured bacterium
Lineage: Bacteria
Description: partial 16S ribosomal RNA
Rfam family: Bacterial small subunit ribosomal RNA
Source: RNAcentral
UACGUAGGCAGCGGGCGUUGUUCGGAGUUACUGGGCGUAAAGGGUGUGUAGGCGGUUGUUUAAGUUUGGUGUGAAAUCUCCCGGCUCAACUGGGAGGGUGCGCCGAAUACUGAAUGACUUGGAGUGCGGGAGAGGAAAGUGGAAUUCCUGGUGUAGCGGUGAAAUGCGUAGAUAUCAGGAGGAACACCGGUGGUGUAGACGGCUUUCUGGACCGUAACUGACGCUGAGGCGCGAAAGCUAGGGGAGCAAACGGG